This 67-nucleotide transfer RNA is filed under the name Opistognathus jacksoniensis (southern smiler). RNAcentral describes it as "tRNA-Cys". It matches the Rfam family "tRNA". Rfam says of the family: Transfer RNA (tRNA) molecules are approximately 80 nucleotides in length. Their secondary structure includes four short double-helical elements and three loops (D, anti-codon, and T loops). Further hydrogen bonds mediate the characteristic L-shaped molecular structure. tRNAs have two regions of fundamental functional importance: the anti-codon, which is responsible for specific mRNA codon recognition, and the 3' end, to which the tRNAs corresponding amino acid is attached (by aminoacyl-tRNA synthetases). tRNAs cope with the degeneracy of the genetic code in two manners: having more than one tRNA (with a specific anti-codon) for a particular amino acid; and 'wobble' base-pairing, i.e. permitting non-standard base-pairing at the 3rd anti-codon position. Lineage: Eukaryota; Metazoa; Chordata; Actinopteri; Opistognathidae. The record is from RNAcentral.
AGCCCUGAGGUGUAUUUACAUAUUAGAUUGCAAAUCUUAAGAAGCAGGCUAAUACCUGCCGGGGCUU